This 256-nucleotide ribosomal RNA is filed under the name uncultured bacterium. Its description in RNAcentral is "partial 16S ribosomal RNA". It matches the Rfam family "Bacterial small subunit ribosomal RNA", at positions 524 to 776 of the family's 1533-position model. The record is from RNAcentral.
UACGGAGGGUGCGAGCGUUGUCCGGAAUCAUUGGGCGUAAAGGGCGCGUAGGUGGCCCGGUCAGUUCGUGGUGAAAGCGCGGGGCUCAACUCCGCGUCGGCCAUGAAUACUGCUGGGCUUGAGCACUGUAGAGGCAGGCGGAAUUCCGGGGUGUAGCGGUGGAAUGCGUAGAGAUCCGGAAGAACACCGGUGGCGAAGGGCGGCCUGCUGGGCAGUAGCUGACACUGAGGCGCGACAGCGUGGGGGAGCAAACAGG